This 265-nucleotide unclassified non-coding RNA is filed under the name Hevea brasiliensis (rubber tree). The record is from RNAcentral. Lineage: Eukaryota; Viridiplantae; Streptophyta; Magnoliopsida; Malpighiales; Euphorbiaceae.
AUUUAAUUAGAGGAGUCAUCUUGGAGAACUUCUGAUUUUUCCCUCCUGAAUGGAACUGAUCUUGAUAUUACUGUGUACCUUGGCUGCCUUCCAUUGGAGGGUUGAUGUGUCUUACAUCCAUCUCUAUUUCAUUCCCUUGGUCGAUACUGCUAUAUGGAAGAAGAAAUAUGAGAAAUAAAAUGCAUUGCUUGAAAUUCUGAGCAAUAGAUUUUGUAAUUUCUUGGCCAUCGGUUAGUGUUAUCUCUUGUAAAAUCCUUUUAUAUUA